This 301-nucleotide ribosomal RNA is filed under the name uncultured bacterium. Its description in RNAcentral is "partial 16S ribosomal RNA". It matches the Rfam family "Bacterial small subunit ribosomal RNA", at positions 509 to 807 of the family's 1533-position model. The record is from RNAcentral.
CAGCCGCCGCGGGAAUACGGAGGGGGCUAGCGUUGUUCGGAAUUACUGGGCGUAAAGCGCACGUAGGCGGCUUGGUAAGUUAGAGGUGAAAGCCUGGAGCUCAACUCCAGAAUUGCCUUUAAGACUGCCGAGCUAGCAGGUGAGAGAGGUAAGUGGAAUUCCGAGUGUAGAGGUGAAAUUCGUAGAUAUUCGGAAGAACACCAGUGGCGAAGGCGGCUUACUGGCUCAUACUGGACGCUGAGGUGCGAAAGCGAGGGGAGCAAACAGGAUUAGAUACCCGAGUAGUCCCUGUCUCUUAUAC